GAUGAACGCUGGCGGCGUGCCUAAUACAUGCAAGUCGAGCGAACAGACGAGGAGCUUGCUCCUCUGACGUUAGCGGCGGACGGGUGAGUAACACGUGGAUAACCUACCUAUAAGACUGGGAUAACUUCGGGAAACCGGAGCUAAUACCGGAUAAUAUAUUGAACCGCAUGGUUCAAUAGUGAAAGCCGGUUUUGCUGUCACUUAUAGAUGGAUCCGCGCCGCAUUAGCUAGUUGGUAAGGUAACGGCUUACCAAGGCAACGAUGCGUAGCCGACCUGAGAGGGUGAUCGGCCACACUGGAACUGAGACACGGUCCAGACUCCUACGGGAGGCAGCAGUAGGGAAUCUUCCGCAAUGGGCGAAAGCCUGACGGAGCAACGCCGCGUGAGUGAUGAAGGUCUUCGGAUCGUAAAACUCUGUUAUUAGGGAAGAACAAAUGUGUAAGUAACUAUGCACGUCUUGACGGUACCUAAUCAGAAAGCAACGGCUAACUACGUG
RNAcentral lists this ribosomal RNA (497 nucleotides) under uncultured bacterium. RNAcentral describes it as "partial 16S ribosomal RNA". It matches the Rfam family "Bacterial small subunit ribosomal RNA", at positions 28 to 507 of the family's 1533-position model. The record is from RNAcentral.